CCUAGCCUUGGAGUGGGGAAGUAACAGCUGGAAACAGCUGCUAAUACCGCAUAAUAUAUCUGGGUCGCAUGGCUCUGGAUAUCAAAGAUUUAUCGCUCUGAGAUGGACUCGCGUCUGAUUAGCUAGUUGGUGGGGCAACGGCCCACCAAGGCGACGAUCAGUAGCCGGACUGAGAGGUUGGCCGGCCACAUUGGGACUGAGACACGGCCCAGACUCCUACGGGAGGCAGCAG
RNAcentral lists this ribosomal RNA (232 nucleotides) under uncultured bacterium. RNAcentral describes it as "partial 16S ribosomal RNA". It matches the Rfam family "Bacterial small subunit ribosomal RNA", at positions 124 to 354 of the family's 1533-position model. The record is from RNAcentral.